Molecule: long non-coding RNA, 1208 nt
Organism: Belonocnema kinseyi
Lineage: Eukaryota; Metazoa; Arthropoda; Insecta; Hymenoptera; Cynipidae
Exons: 4
Source: RefSeq, a predicted model, not a curated record
ACCUCCCUGAAAAAUUUUAAGUGCCAUUAAAUGAUGAACCAAGAUAAUCAGUCUCAUCUUAUCAACAGAUUUAAAAAGCUCCUUUGAAUAAUAAAAGCACGUCUUCGAUGUGUUUAGAAAAGUCUAAAGGCUUGACUGAACGAUGGGACGAUAAGAGUGUAUUAUGCGAUAAAAGAGACUGGCUACAACGCCUCCGCGUCUAGCCUGCUCGUGCCUAUGAUUGAAAGGAAACGCCCGGAGCCUUUUCAAGCAUCGUUACGAGCGAGUCACCCUUGAACCUCGUUACACGCAGUCUACUCAACACCUUAGCUUGGAACACGUUGUAAACGCACGUGCCACAAACGAAAUAAACCUCGCUUGCCUACCCAUUGCUCCAUACAAAGUAAUCCUAAAAAGAAGACGAUGAACCCAAAAGUCCUGGAAAAGAGAACAUGUUCAGGUGAGCCUAUAAUGUGCCGAGGAUUAUGUAAUCCAUACAACCAGGACAAAAUCAGAAUCAAAAUUCCCGAAAAACCAAAAUUUACAGAAAAUCCUAAACUUAUAGCGAAAACCACUUCAAGAAAGCAGUUGGUCCUACUUAAAAAACUACCAGAUUCAAAAGGAACUUGUAAACCUCAACAAUGUUGUAUCUUUCCUUAUCUAAUGAUGUUAACAUUGUACAUUAUCUUUCAUGUUCUAAUAGGGAUAACAGCCAAGGAUAGUGAAUAUUAUCAACCUUUUCUAGCCACACAAAUUUGGGGGCUAUUAGCUCUAGUAAUGUGGAGCAUUCGUAACUGAUGAUGAGAAAUAUUUUUCUAUCUAAUAGAAUGUUCCAAGGUGUUACUGAACCUGUAAAUUUGAGAACAUUUUUCAUAGUGGAAGUUGUGGGCCUAUAAUUAUAAUGGCUCUCCACCUUUUUUUUCUGGGGAUAUCAACAGAUCCUGUUUCCCGAAAAUUAAUUUCUGGCAUUAGAUUUGAAAGAGAACCGUGACGAACACUAAUUCCUGCUUAAGAAGACGUGGGCAAUAUUUCUUCUGACAAUGGGGAAAUUAACCAAGUCAGUAAUUAGGCGAAAGCGGGCAACUUUUAUACCCAUCAAGGCAACACUUUUCGGCAGAAAAUCAAACCAGCCCGCCUUGAUCCGUUCAUGAAAGGUCUUGAGAGGUAGGAAACUUAGCCUCGAAAAAAACUGAUUGAUGAAAAAAAGUGUGGAAGAUAGUUUCGGAUUA